Molecule: non-coding RNA, 257 nt
Organism: Phascolarctos cinereus (koala)
Lineage: Eukaryota; Metazoa; Chordata; Mammalia; Diprotodontia; Phascolarctidae
Source: RefSeq, a predicted model, not a curated record
GCUAUCUCUCAGAGCAAUCUGUCUAUUUGCUGGUAUGUCUGUGUAUCUAUAACUGAGUAUACGUAUGUCUGAGAGCACUUCAUGGGAGUUCAAGGGGAGAGAUAGAGAAGAAUUUUUCCCUUCCAAACAGCAGAAAUUUAUGGAAAGGGUCUGUUGUGUCCUUGAGCCAAUGUUUCACUGCUUCAUGAAAAAUCCCCGCAGCUCAAUGGGACUGACAUCUGAGAUGGCCAGUAGAUGUCUGCACCUGGGAAUAAGGU